UCUAUUCUUUGAUGCUGUGAGCACAAUUAAAUGAUAUUUGGUUGUGCCUUGACUGUGUAACUAGCCUUUUCAGGGACGGCGUCAUCUGGUAUCGGUAAUCAUAUAUAUCACAUGAGGUGGGCAUCGUCUGAACCGGGAUACGCAGAACACCUGGUCGCAACGAUCUCGGAAUGGCUAAUGGCUAUUUUCAUAGUGAUGUUUUUUGUGACAUUCUACAAAGAGUUCAGAAAGUUCCGAUUGACAUCUCCACAAGUCGUAUUUGACAUCAAACCUGAAAUUGGCAACGAUCAACUAAAUCAUACAGAAAUAUUGGGAACAGAAUAUGUGGGCCAAAAUAACACCGGCACAUUCGGAUCCUUUCCAUAAGACAAUAUGGAGCUAUGAAGUAUCAUUUUUUGUUUUGACACUGUAUCCAGAAAUACCUUUUUGUUAAAAGUGAAUGCGUUUACGCACAGUAUUGAAUUUGUGACUUCCAUACCCCAUUUAAAUAUUUUUUUUAAUGAUGAGUUUUUGGAUAAAUUCGUGAGAAAUGAAAUGAUAGCAGCGUCUUUAUACUACCCAUGAUUUUUGUAUGUUUAUAUUGUAAGUUUGCUAAACAUCCAUGCGGCAAUGAAUUAAGUAUCCCUUACACAGUGGUAAAUCAUGUUAAGUGCCGUAAGACACCGUUCUCUUGAAAAUAAAUCAUUCGACACAUGAUAAUGAUUUACUAGAGAAUCACUCAGAAAUAGUAAUCUUUAACUGAGGUAUAUUCUUUGAUUAAAUGGAAGCGUACAUGGUUUAUACUACACGUAGAUUGGUUGUAUUCCACACCUCCACAAAAUGCCCAAUUGUUAUACUUUUUACCUGUAGUUUGACCCACAUGUAUGUUUUCCUCAAUUACGACACAUAUUCUAGUUUAGUCCGCAGUCUGAUAAACUUAAUGCAUAUGUAUUUUAUUGAUAAAACUUAUACAUGUAUGCUAUAUAUAGACUACAGGUAAAAACAAAGGGAACCAUAGCAUUUGGUCCUCACCUGUGGAGAUGUAGUGUACUACAAGGCUACCCAGGUCCUAUCCUUCCGAGUCCUAGUUUAGGUACCGCUGGAGAAUUAGGAUUAAACCUCAACUUACAAUCACAUUAACUAAAAAAGAAAUAAAAAUAAGACAGGUGUGGUGA
Molecule: long non-coding RNA, 1154 nt
Organism: Pecten maximus
Lineage: Eukaryota; Metazoa; Mollusca; Bivalvia; Pectinida; Pectinidae
Exons: 2
Source: RefSeq, a predicted model, not a curated record